UAUGACAUUAGAACUAUCGCAGUUGAAA
This 28-nucleotide small RNA is filed under the name Bombyx mori (domestic silkworm). Its description in RNAcentral is "ovarian small RNA-23868". Lineage: Eukaryota; Metazoa; Arthropoda; Insecta; Lepidoptera; Bombycidae. The record is from RNAcentral.